This 471-nucleotide ribosomal RNA is filed under the name uncultured bacterium. RNAcentral's name for it is "bacterial SSU rRNA". It matches the Rfam family "Bacterial small subunit ribosomal RNA", at positions 355 to 825 of the family's 1533-position model. The record is from RNAcentral.
UGGGGAAUAUUGGACAAUGGGGGCAACCCUGAUCCAGCGACGCCGCGUGUGUGAAGAAGGCCUUCGGGUUGUAAAGCACUUUCGGUGGGGACAAACAAGACGGAGCUAACAUCUCCGUUCCUGAUGGUACCCAAAGAAGAAGCACCGGCUAACUCUGUGCCAGCAGCCGCGGUAAUACAGAGGGUGCGAGCGUUAAUCGGAAUUACUGGGCGUAAAGCGUGCGUAGGUGGUUUGCUAAGUCAGGUGUGAAAUCCCUGGGCUCAACCCAGGAACUGCAUUUGAUACUGGCAGGCUUGAGUGUGGUAGAGGGUAGUGGAAUUCCCGGUGUAGCGGUGAAAUGCGUAGAUAUCGGGAGGAACAUCAGUGGCGAAGGCGGCUACCUGGACCAACACUGACACUGAGGUACGAAAGCGUGGGGAGCAAACAGGAUUAGAUACCCCAGUAGUCCCUGAGCGGGCUGGCAAGGCGCAU